Unclassified non-coding RNA from Nomascus leucogenys (northern white-cheeked gibbon), 112 nucleotides. It matches the Rfam family "Y RNA". From Rfam's summary of the family: Y RNAs are components of the Ro ribonucleoprotein particle (Ro RNP), in association with Ro60 and La proteins. The record is from Ensembl. NCBI's taxonomy places the organism in Eukaryota, Metazoa, Chordata, Mammalia, Primates, Hylobatidae.
GGCUAGUCCAAAGGUAGCAAGCAAUCUGAAUUGAUUGUUCAGAGUCAGUUACAGAUCAAACUCCUAGUUCUACUCUACCCCCCUUCUCACUAUUGCAAUUAACUAGUCUUAA